UACAUAGGGGGCAAGCGUUAUCCGGAAUUACUGGGUGUAAAGGGUGCGUAGGUGGUUAUAUAAGUCAGAUGUGAAAACCCGAGGCUCAACCUCGGGAAUGCAUUUGAAACUAUGUAACUAGAGUACAGGAGAGGUAAGUGGAAUUUCUAGUGUAGCGGUAAAAUGCGUAGAUAUUAGGAAGAACACCAGUGGCGAAGGCGACUUACUGGACUGAAACUGACACUGAGGCACGAAAGCGUGGGGAGCGAACAGG
This 253-nucleotide ribosomal RNA is filed under the name uncultured bacterium. Its description in RNAcentral is "partial 16S ribosomal RNA". It matches the Rfam family "Bacterial small subunit ribosomal RNA", at positions 524 to 776 of the family's 1533-position model. The record is from RNAcentral.